UUUUCCGCUCUCUCUCUCUCUCUCUCUCUCUCUCUCUCUCUCUCUCUCUCCCUCUCGGUCUUUCUCCGCCCUCUCUCCCCCGCUCUCUCACGGCCUCUCUCUAGCUGACCCAGGUGAGUAAGAACAGCUCAUCUCGUUACCCUGAGGAUCAUACCGAUGUUUCGUAUGGGGAAUCGAAACAGCGACCAUUCUGGAGCCGGUAAAUGUUGCGGGAGAUGACGAGAGCGAGAGAGGGUGAGUGAGUGAUUGGUACACCGGUUUCAAGC
This 266-nucleotide long non-coding RNA is filed under the name Spirodela polyrhiza (greater duckweed). RNAcentral's name for it is "long non-coding RNA (SPOL_LNC000150)". The record is from RNAcentral. Lineage: Eukaryota; Viridiplantae; Streptophyta; Magnoliopsida; Alismatales; Araceae.